GAUAAACUUCGGAAGCAGAUUCUCAAAGUCUCCGAGAACCUCUUGUGCAAGUUGGCUGUUUGUGUGUCGUUGAUGCUGCUGGAUCAUCAUCUUGAGCGUCAUUUUAUCUUCAUCAUCUUCAACUUUGUCCAGAUCAACGAGUUCAAGGUUGCAUCUCGUGUGGAACUUCCCAUCCACGUCAAGGACGUAAGCAAUACCACCGCUCAUACCAGCAGCAAAGUUUCUACCAGUCUUUCCAAGCACCACAACGGUUCCACCAGUCAUGUACUCGCAACCGUGGUCACCAACACCUUCCACAACGGCUUGAGCACCAGAGUUACGAACAGAGAAUC
This 332-nucleotide long non-coding RNA is filed under the name Brassica rapa (field mustard). RNAcentral describes it as "long non-coding RNA (BRAP_LNC001790)". The record is from RNAcentral. Lineage: Eukaryota; Viridiplantae; Streptophyta; Magnoliopsida; Brassicales; Brassicaceae.